GCCGGAGCUGCCAAGGGCUGGCGCACCGGCAGCGCUGCGCUCAGGGAUCCGGCUGAGCCGAGCCGGCGGCGAUCAAUACGGGAGGAAAGUGCGGCGGCGGCUGCGCUCGGUGCCAGGCAGCAUCUGGGGUCUCCUAUAAUUGACUACAUCAUGAUUCAGUUGAAGAAUCUAGACUUUCUGCGUUUGGUAUAUACUCUGAUCGACACAGCAAUGAUUAUGAAAUGCAAGUAAUCCUGUGCUGUCAAGAUGCGUGUGAUGAAAUUUUUUGCACGUGGAGGAUGCUUGGCCUUGGGGGAGGAGGAAAUCUAAUCUAGCAUUCAGAAGAACAGUCUCUGCGUCCUGAUAUUUAGAAAGAAUGCAAGUAAAGAAAUACUCCCCAACUGAAACACCCUUAAUCCCAGCACUCGGGAGGCAGAGCUGAUCUCCACUAUGAUUUAACCUACUUGAAGUUUCUCUGUAAUUCCAAAAUCAAUGCUUGUGGCACUUUUAUAGUCAUUUGCACAUGCCUGCAGAGUGGUGAAGAGUCGGAGUCCCAUGUCACGAAUGUUUUCCAUUGCACAGGUCAAGGUUCUGCCUGCGUGUUUGAGCUUCCAUACUAGUCAAAUCCCCUAGAAAGACUGAGGACGAUGUAAGCAAGAGAAAGCAUCUUGGAGGAAAUCACUUCGGACAGAAGAAGAGCAAUAAGGAAAACUGAAGAAGAUUUAAAUGUGGACAGUAAGGAUAUAAUCAAAGGACAGAUUAUCCUUUUGGAAAACUGAGAGAUGGGGAAGAAGAGAGAAAGCAGUAACCAAUGGGAGGCAAUGUGUACAGUGGGUAAACACAGGAGUUUGCUGCUUGGGGUUGCAACCCAGCUUAUAAGCUAUGUGAUUAUGGGCAAGUUAUUGGAUGUGCCUGCAGCAGAGCAGGGCAGAGAGCAAGUCCAGGCCCCAAGGGAAGUAAUAAGACUUGAACUGGGAAACACUUCAGAUUUGCAAUGAAUAAAGUAUAACAAGAGCAGAAACCACAGGAAUUCUGCCAGAUAUGUCAA
Molecule: long non-coding RNA, 1027 nt
Organism: Nannospalax galili (Upper Galilee mountains blind mole rat)
Lineage: Eukaryota; Metazoa; Chordata; Mammalia; Rodentia; Spalacidae
Exons: 6
Source: RefSeq, a predicted model, not a curated record